AACAUAGGGGGCAAGCGUUGUCCGGAAUCACUGGGCGUAAAGGGCGCGUAGGUGGUCUGUUAAGUCAGAUGUGAAAUGUAAGGGCUCAACCCUUAACGUGCAUCUGAUACUGGCAGGCUUGAGUGCGGAAGAGGCAAGUGGAAUUCCUAGUGUAGCGGUGAAAUGCGUAGAUAUUAGGAGGAACACCAGUGGCGAAGGCGACUUGCUGGGCCGUAACUGACGCUGAGGCGCGAAAGCGUGGGGAGCAAACAGG
This 253-nucleotide ribosomal RNA is filed under the name Peptococcus niger. Its description in RNAcentral is "partial 16S ribosomal RNA". It matches the Rfam family "Bacterial small subunit ribosomal RNA", at positions 524 to 776 of the family's 1533-position model. The record is from RNAcentral. Lineage: Bacteria; Bacillati; Bacillota; Clostridia; Eubacteriales; Peptococcaceae.